CUUUUAACACUUUUUAACACUUUCCUAUCCAAACACUUGUGUUAAAAGUAGGGUGUUAAAGUUUAACACCCCAUUUUUCAUAAACAUAUGGAGGGGGUGUUAAAACUUGCUAAAGGUGUUAAAAGUGGUCCCCCUCUCCACUUUUUCCCAGGUUACCCCUUCUCUCUCCUCCCUCUCUCUCCGCCGGCCAUAAAUGAGGGGGCAAUGGAGUCAUUUCCCACCAAAGGUGUUAAAGUUUAACACAUCAUCCAAACA
RNAcentral lists this long non-coding RNA (255 nucleotides) under Setaria viridis. Its description in RNAcentral is "long non-coding RNA (SVIR_LNC008273)". Lineage: Eukaryota; Viridiplantae; Streptophyta; Magnoliopsida; Poales; Poaceae. The record is from RNAcentral.